GUGAAGCGGGAAAAGCUCAAAUUUAAAAUCUGGCGUCCUCCGGGCGUCCGAGUUGUAAUCUGGAGAAGCGUUUUCCGCGUCGGACCGUGUACAAGUCUUCUGGAACGGAGCGUCAUAGAGGGUGAGAAUCCCGUCUCUGACACGGACUACCGAUGCUUUUGUGAUGCGCUCUCGAAGAGUCGAGUUGUUUGGGAAUGCAGCUCAAAAUGGGUGGUAAAUUCCAUCUAAAGCUAAAUAUUGGCCAGAGACCGAUAGCGAACAAGUACCGUGAGGGAAAGAUGAAAAGCACUUUGGAAAGAGAGUUAAACAGUACGUGAAAUUGUUGAAAGGGAAACGCUUGAAGUCAGUCGCGUUGGCCGAGACUCAGCCUGGCUUGCCUGGUGUACUUCUCGGUUGACGGGUCAGCAUCAGUUUUGACCGUCGGAUAAAGGUUGGAGGAAUGUGGCAUCCCUCGGGAUGUGUUAUAGCCUCUGAUUCGCAUACGGCGAUUGGGACUGAGGAACUCAGCACGCCUUUAUGGUCGGGGUUCGCCCACGUAACGUGCUUAGGAUGCUGGCAUAAUGGCUUUAAGCGACCCGUCUUGAAACACGGACCAAGGAGUCUAACAUGCCCGCGAGUGUUUGGGUGUUAAACCCGAGCGCGUAAUGAAAGUGAAAGUUGAGAUC
RNAcentral lists this ribosomal RNA (665 nucleotides) under Athelia abscondita. RNAcentral describes it as "partial large subunit ribosomal RNA". It matches the Rfam family "Eukaryotic large subunit ribosomal RNA", at positions 93 to 742 of the family's 3401-position model. The record is from RNAcentral. Lineage: Eukaryota; Fungi; Basidiomycota; Agaricomycetes; Atheliales; Atheliaceae.